RNAcentral lists this ribosomal RNA (871 nucleotides) under uncultured eukaryote. Its description in RNAcentral is "SSU rRNA". It matches the Rfam family "Eukaryotic small subunit ribosomal RNA", at positions 574 to 1463 of the family's 1831-position model. The record is from RNAcentral.
CCGCGGUAAUUCCAGCUCCAAUAGCGUAUACUAAAGUUGUUGCGGUUAAAAAGCUCGUAGUUGGAUCUUGGAAUGUGUUCAAGCGGGUCAGCUUCUGGCUGUGCGCUGCUUGACGUGUUCUUCUAUUUGGUUUUGGUGCGGUGCGCUUAACUGCGUGUCGCUCCCGGCCGAAACGUUUACCUUGAAAAAAUUAGAGUGUUCAAAGCAGACCUGUUUGAGUCUGAAUAUUCGUGCAUGGAAUAAUGAAAUAUGAAUUCGGUUCUAUUUUGUUGGUUUUCGGAACUCGAGUUAAUGAUCAAGAGGGACAGACGGGGGCAUUCGUACUCUGCCGUUAGAGGUGAAAUUCUUGGAUCGGCGGAAGACGCGCAACUGCGAAAGCAUUUGCCAAGAAUGUUUUCUUUAAUCAAGAACGAUAGUCGGAGGUUCGAAGACGAUCAGAUACCGUCCUAGUUUCGACUGUAAACUAUGCCAGCUAACGAUCAGACAGAGUUCUCUACGACUUGUCUGGCAGUUUCCGGGAAACCAAAGCGUUUGGGUUCCGGGGGAAGUAUGGUUGCAAAGCUGAAACUUAAAGGAAUUGACGGAAGGGCACCACCAGGAGUGGAGCCUGCGGCUUAAUUUGACUCAACACGGGGAAACUCACCCGGCCCGGACACAGUGAGGAUUGACAGAUUGAGAGUUCUUUCUUGAUUCUGUGGGUGGUGGUGCAUGGGCCGUUCUUAGUUGGUGGAGCGAUUUGUCUGGUUAAUUCCGAUAACGAACGAGACUCUGGCACGUUAAAUAGUCGCGGAAGUGCGUAUGCACUUGCCGAAUUGACUUCUUAGAGGGACUAGUGAUUUUAAUUCACACGAGAUUGAGCAAUAACAGGUCU